AUUGAACGCUGGCGGCAGGCUUAACACAUGCAAGUCGAACGAGUGGCGGACGGGUGAGUAAUGUCUGGGAAACUGCCUGCUGGAGGGGGAUAACUCCUGGAACCGGUAGCUAAUACCGCAUACCAUCAGAUGUGCCCAGAUGGGAUUCGCUUGUUGGUGGGGUAACGGCUCACCAAGGCGACGAUCCCUAGCUGGUCUGAGAGGUUGACCGGCCACACUGGAACUGGGACACGGCCCAGACUCCUACGGGAGGCAGCAGUGGGGAAUAUUGCACAAUGGGCGCAAGCCUGAUGCAGCCAUGCCGCGUGUAUGAAGAAGGCCUUCGGGUUGUAAAGUACUUUCAGCGGGGAGGCGGUACCCGAAGAAGAAGCACCGGCUAACUCCGUGCCAGCCGCCGCGGUAAUAG
Molecule: ribosomal RNA, 406 nt
Filed under: uncultured bacterium
Lineage: Bacteria
Description: partial 16S ribosomal RNA
Rfam family: Bacterial small subunit ribosomal RNA
Source: RNAcentral